This 75-nucleotide transfer RNA is filed under the name Alphaproteobacteria bacterium. RNAcentral describes it as "tRNA-Thr". It matches the Rfam family "tRNA". Rfam says of the family: Transfer RNA (tRNA) molecules are approximately 80 nucleotides in length. The record is from RNAcentral. Lineage: Bacteria; Pseudomonadati; Pseudomonadota; Alphaproteobacteria.
GCCGUCGUAGCUCAGGGGUAGAGCACGCCCUUGGUAAGGGCGGGGCCGGAGGUUCAAUUCCUCCCGACGGCACCA